GGGCACAGCGCCCGAGUCAGACUGCGGAAAUAUUCCUUGCUGCCUUCCUUCUGAGA
Erinaceus europaeus (western European hedgehog) is the source of this 56-nucleotide non-coding RNA. The record is from Rfam. NCBI's taxonomy places the organism in Eukaryota, Metazoa, Chordata, Mammalia, Eulipotyphla, Erinaceidae.